This 72-nucleotide transfer RNA is filed under the name Listeria monocytogenes. RNAcentral describes it as "tRNA-Gly". The stretch from base 7 to 65 matches the Rfam family "tRNA", at positions 7 to 64 of the family's 71-position model. Rfam says of the family: Transfer RNA (tRNA) molecules are approximately 80 nucleotides in length. Their secondary structure includes four short double-helical elements and three loops (D, anti-codon, and T loops). Lineage: Bacteria; Bacillati; Bacillota; Bacilli; Caryophanales; Listeriaceae. The record is from RNAcentral.
GCGGAAGUAGUUCAGUGGUAGAACAUCACCUUGCCAAGGUGGGGGUCGCGGGUUCGAACCCCGUCAGCACCU